This 253-nucleotide ribosomal RNA is filed under the name uncultured bacterium. RNAcentral's name for it is "partial 16S ribosomal RNA". It matches the Rfam family "Bacterial small subunit ribosomal RNA", at positions 524 to 776 of the family's 1533-position model. The record is from RNAcentral.
GACGUAGGGGGCAAGCGUUGUCCGGAAUCAUUGGGCGUAAAGCGCUCGUAGGUGGAUCGGUAAGUCUGCAAAGAAAGACCCGGGCUCAACUCGGGGAACGGUGUGGAUACUACCGAUCUUGAGGCAAUCAGAGGAUGAUGGAAUUCCCGGUGUAGCGGUGAAAUGCGCAGAUAUCGGGAAGAACACCCGUGGCGAAGGCGGCUCUCUGGGACGGUACUGACGCUGAGACGCGAAAGCGUGGGGAGCGAACAGG